RNAcentral lists this ribosomal RNA (3469 nucleotides) under Streptococcus agalactiae SS1219. RNAcentral describes it as "bacterial SSU rRNA". The stretch from base 1 to 1503 matches the Rfam family "Bacterial small subunit ribosomal RNA". Lineage: Bacteria; Bacillati; Bacillota; Bacilli; Lactobacillales; Streptococcaceae. The record is from RNAcentral.
CCUAAUACAUGCAAGUAGAACGCUGAGGUUUGGUGUUUACACUAGACUGAUGAGUUGCGAACGGGUGAGUAACGCGUAGGUAACCUGCCUCAUAGCGGGGGAUAACUAUUGGAAACGAUAGCUAAUACCGCAUAAGAGUAAUUAACACAUGUUAGUUAUUUAAAAGGAGCAAUUGCUUCACUGUGAGAUGGACCUGCGUUGUAUUAGCUAGUUGGUGAGGUAAAGGCUCACCAAGGCGACGAUACAAAGCCGACCUGAGAGGGUGAUCGGCCACACUGGGACUGAGACACGGCCCAGACUCCUACGGGAGGCAGCAGUAGGGAAUCUUCGGCAAUGGACGGAAGUCUGACCGAGCAACGCCGCGUGAGUGAAGAAGGUUUUCGGAUCGUAAAGCUCUGUUGUUAGAGAAGAACGUUGGUAGGAGUGGAAAAUCUACCAAGUGACGGUAACUAACCAGAAAGGGACGGCUAACUACGUGCCAGCAGCCGCGGUAAUACGUAGGUCCCGAGCGUUGUCCGGAUUUAUUGGGCGUAAAGCGAGCGCAGGCGGUUCUUUAAGUCUGAAGUUAAAGGCAGUGGCUUAACCAUUGUACGCUUUGGAAACUGGAGGACUUGAGUGCAGAAGGGGAGAGUGGAAUUCCAUGUGUAGCGGUGAAAUGCGUAGAUAUAUGGAGGAACACCGGUGGCGAAAGCGGCUCUCUGGUCUGUAACUGACGCUGAGGCUCGAAAGCGUGGGGAGCAAACAGGAUUAGAUACCCUGGUAGUCCACGCCGUAAACGAUGAGUGCUAGGUGUUAGGCCCUUUCCGGGGCUUAGUGCCGCAGCUAACGCAUUAAGCACUCCGCCUGGGGAGUACGACCGCAAGGUUGAAACUCAAAGGAAUUGACGGGGGCCCGCACAAGCGGUGGAGCAUGUGGUUUAAUUCGAAGCAACGCGAAGAACCUUACCAGGUCUUGACAUCCUUCUGACCGGCCUAGAGAUAGGCUUUCUCUUCGGAGCAGAAGUGACAGGUGGUGCAUGGUUGUCGUCAGCUCGUGUCGUGAGAUGUUGGGUUAAGUCCCGCAACGAGCGCAACCCCUAUUGUUAGUUGCCAUCAUUAAGUUGGGCACUCUAGCGAGACUGCCGGUAAUAAACCGGAGGAAGGUGGGGAUGACGUCAAAUCAUCAUGCCCCUUAUGACCUGGGCUACACACGUGCUACAAUGGUUGGUACAACGAGUCGCAAGUCGGUGACGGCAAGCGAAUCUCUUAAAGCCAAUCUCAGUUCGGAUUGUAGGCUGCAACUCGCCUACAUGAAGUCGGAAUCGCUAGUAAUCGCGGAUCAGCACGCCGCGGUGAAUACGUUCCCGGGCCUUGUACACACCGCCCGUCACACCACGAGAGUUUGUAACACCCGAAGUCGGUGAGGUAACCUUUUAGGAGCCAGCCGCCUAAGGUGGGAUAGAUGAUUGGGGUGAAGUCGUAACAAGGUAGCCGUAUCGGAAGGUGCGGCUGGAUCACCUCCUUUCUAAGGAUAAGGAAACCUGCCAUUUGCGUCUUGUUUAGUUUUGAGAGGUCUUGUGGGGCCUUAGCUCAGCUGGGAGAGCGCCUGCUUUGCACGCAGGAGGUCAGCGGUUCGAUCCCGCUAGGCUCCAUUGAAUCGAAAGAUUCAAAUUGUUCAUUGAAAAUUGAAUAUCUAUAUCAAAUUCCACGAUCUAGAAAUAGAUUGUAGAAAGUAACAAGAAAAUAAACCGAAAACGCUGUGAAUAUUUAAUGAGUUUUCUAGUUUUAAAGAAACUAGGUUAAUAAGGUUAAGUUAAUAAGGGCGCACGGUGGAUGCCUUGGCACUAGAAGCCGAAGAAGGACGUGACUAACGACGAAAUGCUUUGGGGAGCUGUAAGUAAGCGCUGAUCCAGAGAUGUCCGAAUGGGGGAACCCACUAGUUAAUGACUAGUAUCCAUAUCUGUUAAGGAUAUGAGAAGGAAGACGCAGUGAACUGAAACAUCUAAGUAGCUGCAGGAAGAGAAAGCAAAAGCGAUUGCCUUAGUAGCGGCGAGCGAAACGGCAGGAGGGCAAACCGAAGUGUAAACACUUCGGGGUUGUAGGACUGCGAUAUAGGAUUAAUCAUUAUAGAAGAAUUACCUGGGAAGGUAAGCCAAAGAGAGUAACAGCCUCGUAUUUAAAAUGAUAGAUUAACCUUAGCAGUAUCCUGAGUACGGCGAGACACGCGAAAUCUCGUCGGAAUCUGGGAGGACCAUCUCCCAACCCUAAAUACUCUCUAGUGACCGAUAGUGAACCAGUACCGUGAGGGAAAGGUGAAAAGCACCCCGGGAGGGGAGUGAAAUAGAACCUGAAACCGUGUGCCUACAACAAGUUCGAGCCCGUUAAUGGGUGAGAGCGUGCCUUUUGUAGAAUGAACCGGCGAGUUACGAUAUGAUGCGAGGUUAAGUUGAAGAGACGGAGCCGUAGGGAAACCGAGUCUUAAUAGGGCGCCAUAGUAUCAUGUUGUAGACCCGAAACCAUGUGACCUACCCAUGAGCAGGUUGAAGGUGAGGUAAAACUCACUGGAGGACCGAACCAGGGCACGUUGAAAAGUGCUUGGAUGACUUGUGGGUAGCGGAGAAAUUCCAAACGAACUUGGAGAUAGCUGGUUCUCUCCGAAAUAGCUUUAGGGCUAGCGUCGAUGUUAAGUCUCUUGGAGGUAGAGCACUGUUUGGGUGAGGGGUCCAUCCCGGAUUACCAAUCUCAGAUAAACUCCGAAUGCCAACGAGAUAUAAUCGGCAGUCAGACUGCGAGUGCUAAGAUCCGUAGUCGAAAGGGAAACAGCCCAGACCACCAGCUAAGGUCCCAAAAUAUAUGUUAAGUGGAAAAGGAUGUGGGGUUGCACAGACAACUAGGAUGUUAGCUUAGAAGCAGCUAUUCAUUCAAAGAGUGCGUAAUAGCUCACUAGUCGAGUGACCCUGCGCCGAAAAUGUACCGGGGCUAAAACAUAUUACCGAAGCUGUGGAUGACACAAAAGUGUCAUGGUAGGAGAGCGUUCUAUGUGUGAAGAAGGUGUACCGUGAGGAGCGCUGGAACGCAUAGAAGUGAGAAUGCCGGUAUGAGUAGCGCAAGACAGGUGAGAAUCCUGUCCACCGUAAGACUAAGGUUUCCAGGGGAAGGCUCGUCCGCCCUGGGUUAGUCGGGACCUAAGGAGAGACCGAAAGGUGUAUCCGAUGGACAACAGGUUGAUAUUCCUGUACUAGAGUAUAUAGUGAUGGAGGGACGCAGUAGGCUAACUAAACCAGACGAUUGGAAGUGUCUGGUCAAACAGUGAGGUGUGAUAUGAGUCAAAUGCUUAUAUCUUUAACAUUGAGCUGUGACGAGGAGCGAAGUUUAGUAGCGAAGUUAGUGAUGUCACACUGCCAAGAAAAGCUUCUAGCGAUACAUAUACUCUACCCGUACCGCAAACCGACACAGGUAGUCGAGGCGAGUAGCCUCAGGUGAGCGAGAGA